This 2901-nucleotide unclassified non-coding RNA is filed under the name Hevea brasiliensis (rubber tree). The record is from RNAcentral. Lineage: Eukaryota; Viridiplantae; Streptophyta; Magnoliopsida; Malpighiales; Euphorbiaceae.
UUUAGCGAAGAUGAGGUUGUAAAGCUGUAGCUUGUAUUCUGCUGGAUGAUUGUCCUUCUGUUUAUAUACACUGAUGGAUAUCUAAUUGGCAAAUCCUUUUCACUACAGGCGAGAUUCUUCUUUCAGCAGCUAAUAUCUGGAGUCAGCUACUGUCAUUCCAUGGAAAUUUGUCACAGGGAUCUGAAACUUGAAAAUACACUUUUGGAUGGAAGCCCUACGCCCCGACUUAAAAUAUGUGAUUUUGGUUAUUCCAAGGUUCAUGCUUGUUUGUAUAAUUUUCUUCUUCAUUCUGCUCCUGGAGAUUCUUUCUAUUAAAUUUUGAAUAUUUUCCUUUUUUUAAUAAUAAAUUUAAUAAUAAAUUCAGUCUGCUCUGUUGCACUCGCAACCCAAAUCUACAGUUGGAACACCUGCGUACAUUGCUCCUGAAGUUCUAUCUCGAAAAGAAUAUGAUGGCAAGGUACCUAGUUUUAAUUUGUCAUGGAACAUAGCUAAAAGGCCACUUCAGGUUUACUGUUCUGCUUUUCUAGAGAGCCUAACUUUGCAUCUGUUAUUUAAUUAAUUGGUAUAUGAACAUUCAAUUUUAUCAGUCUGAGAUUGUGUUUGCUAUAAAAAAGAAUAAUACAGUUGAAUCAUCAAAGCAAUAGAAAUAUUGACAUGGAGUAAGGGGUUUUCUUUUUAUAUUAAAUCUUUUGGUUCAAGAAGAAAAGUGAUGCUAGAUCCUUUAAGAACAAUGUGGUGUUGUUUCCUGCAUUUUUUUGUCCUCCUUUUUCUCAUUCUUUUUCCUUUUUUUUUUAAAAAAUAAAAAAAGAGAAAAUGAAAGUUAUUGUUACCGAUCUCCGAAUUUGAAUUCAAUUCAAAAGAAGGAGAAGACAAGAAGCCUUAAACAUUUACUCUGUGGAACUGUAUAUAUAACAUAUAGAGAUAAAAACAUCAUAAUGAAAAUGCUCAUUAUAGAGAUAAAAACAUCAUAAUGAAAAUGCUCAUGACUGUUAAAUUUCUUGAGUUAAUGCUUGUUUACUUGUUCUUGUUCUUGUUCUGUGAAAACCAUUAUGUUGAUUGUCCAAAGCAGUGAGCUCCAUUGUUUUAGAUUUUUGGAAACUCAAGUGUGAGAUAGUCAUCUGGAUGAAGCUUUUCAAUGUGACACCUCGUUUGGUCUUACCUUCAUCGAUUUCCUAUAAAGUCAGAAACUAUCAUUCUGCCGUUUUUAUAGUGGUUGAACAUACAAUUCUGCAGUCUUCAUACUGCAGUGCUUUAUAUUCUUCAAUUUAACAGUCUAAAAAAGAUGUGAUGUUCUUAAGCAUAUUUCUAGAGUAUAGAGUUGCUUACGGAAGCUUGUAGGCAUGAUCGCAUGGUCAGAUGAGAGUGGAAAGAAUUUCAGCUGCUUUAUUUAAGAUGGACUGUAGCAUCAAGAAGUCAUAUCUUUGUAUCUUUAUACUUUUGGCAUAGUGCUUGACUACUAUUCCAGACAAAUUUCUUGAUUUAGCUAUACAUUUUUUGUAUCCCAUCAUUAUGGGACAAAAAUGAUGUCCUUUUCUCACCUUGCGUGGUCAUUUGUUGGUUUAUCAAUUUUAGAUUUCAGAUGUUUGGUCGUGUGGGGUGACAUUAUAUGUGAUGUUGGUGGGAGCAUACCCUUUUGAGGAUCCUGAAGACCCUAGGAAUUUCCGUAAGACCAUUGGGAGAAUAAUGAGCGUUCAAUACUCCAUACCAGACUAUGUACGAGUCUCUGCAGAUUGCAAGCACCUCCUUUCUCGUAUUUUUGUGGCUAAUCCUGCCAAGGUAAUACCAAGCAACAUUUUCUUCAUGGUCUUCUCUCUGUUCUUUGACAGUUUUAAUAGAAGUACAAGGAAGCAUAGGAAAAUGAAUGAUCUCAUCAGUUUCACCAAGUACUAAAGAAACUUGCUCAAUUUGUCUUAGCUUAUGAAAUGCAACUCUUCUGUUUUUCCAUACUUGUGUUUGGGAUUGUUUCUGAAUAAGUUCUGGAAAAUUGAUGAUCAACAUUUGGAUUCGUCUUUUAUGGAUGACAUCAAGUUCUCCUCCUUGUAAAAUUUGCUAAAAGACAAAAUGAAAAAGAAUAAAUUUGAUGUAAGAUAGAUAGGAGGGGCCAAUUUGGUGUAUAUCAAUGCUUGAUUAGCUUUUUAUAUUGUGCUAAUACCAUCUGAGUCCUCCUUAAAGAGGAUUACCAUCCCAGAGAUCAAGCAGCACCCUUGGUUUCUAAAAAAUUUUCCGAAGGAGCUCAUUGAAAUUGAGAAGAAAAACUUUGCGGAAUCAGAACGCGAUCAACCAAGUCAGAGUGUUGAUGAAGUAAUGUGUAUCAUACAAGAGGCAAAGAUGCCUGGGGAAGGUGCGAAAGUCAGUGAGCAAGCUAUUGCUGGUACAUCUGAUGACUGGGAUGCUGAUUUGGAAUCUGAAAUUGAUGCAAGUGGUGACAUUGGGCCCCCUAUCUAAGCAUGAGCUGACAAAUUAUGUGGAAAGGAUUGUGUUCCUAGUUUCAAUUGAUUUCAGAUCAAGUCUCACUUGCCUCUGUGAAUCUAUUUUCAUUGUGAAGUAUUGGUGUUGCCUUGGAUUGAAGUUAAAGUAGUGCAUAUAUACCACCAUGUGGCGAAAUGGGUCUUGUAUUUACUGUGUAAAAAUUUGCAGGAUCGCAUGCUUCAUUGGAGGAAUUUUAGCCAUUGGCUUCAAGAACAUUGUGCUUUCCCUCCCCCCCCCCUCAACAAUGUAUUGUUUACGGUGGUGUUAAAUUGUUACAAAGACAGGUUUGUAUUUGUUUCUGUGAUGAAAAGUCAGCAUAAAACUUUCACUCAUUCUCACGUGUAAUACAAGUGUAGAUUGUGAUCAGAUUACAAGAAGUUUUACAAAUCUGUUAUCAUUCUGUUUCUUGUUCAGCUAAGCAAACCAUUUCUC